This 413-nucleotide long non-coding RNA is filed under the name Rattus norvegicus (Norway rat). RNAcentral describes it as "long non-coding RNA NONRATT014060". Lineage: Eukaryota; Metazoa; Chordata; Mammalia; Rodentia; Muridae. The record is from RNAcentral.
AGGUAUAGUUCUCUCCCAAGCUCUACUGGAUACCAUGAAACAGGAAAGCACACGUGUGAAAACAACAGCCUCUGGCCAGACGCUGAGAGCGAAAGUUCAGGAGACAUCCUCACCCAUGCACAAAACCCACCAGUGGCUGCACACUCUGCCACUACUGAGAAGAUGAGCCCACCAGCCCACGCUCGUUUGAGAACACCCUGCCAUGUUUCUCUCCCUCAGAAAACACACGUGACAGGUGCUCAUUUGGCUGCUCGAGUGCUUUCCUCUGCAAUGACAGCUCCUCGGGCUUACAGGCUGCAGCCUCCAGUUAGAAUUUAUUACUGUUUCCCUUAUUCCCCUGCCUCGGCAGAAAGCAGCACAUAGCACCUACAUCUCGAGGCCUGUGAGAGGUAAUAAAGUACAAUUAUUUUGAA